This 1344-nucleotide ribosomal RNA is filed under the name uncultured bacterium. RNAcentral describes it as "bacterial SSU rRNA". It matches the Rfam family "Bacterial small subunit ribosomal RNA", at positions 28 to 1381 of the family's 1533-position model. The record is from RNAcentral.
GAUGAACGCUAGCGGGAGGCCUAACACAUGCAAGCCGAGCGGUAUUGUUUCUUCGGAAAUGAGAGAGCGGCGUACGGGUGCGGAACACGUGUGCAACCUGCCUUUAUCUGGGGGAUAGCCUUUCGAAAGGAAGAUUAAUACUCCAUAAUAUAUUGAACGGCAUCGUUUAAUAUUGAAAGCUCCGGCGGAUAGAGAUGGGCACGCGCAAGAUUAGCUAGUUGGUGAGGUAACGGCUCACCAAGGCGAUGAUCUUUAGGGGGCCUGAGAGGGUGAUCCCCCACACUGGUACUGAGACACGGACCGGACUCCUACGGGAGGCAGCAGUGAGGAAUAUUGGUCAAUGGGUGCAAGCCUGAACCAGCCAUCCCGCGUGAAGGACGACUGCCCUAUGGGUUGUAAACUUCUUUUGUAUAGGGAUAAACCUACCCUCGUGAGGGUAGCUGAAGGUACUAUACGAAUAAGCACCGGCUAACUCCGUGCCAGCAGCCGCGGUAAUACGGAGGGUGCAAGCGUUAUCCGGAUUUAUUGGGUUUAAAGGGUCCGUAGGCGGACUUAUAAGUCAGUGGUGAAAGCCUGUCGCUUAACGAUAGAACUGCCAUUGAUACUGUAAGUCUUGAGUAUAUUUGAGGUAGCUGGAAUAAGUAGUGUAGCGGUGAAAUGCAUAGAUAUUACUUAGAACACCAAUUGCGAAGGCAGGUUACCAAGAUAUAACUGACGCUGAGGGACGAAAGCGUGGGGAGCGAACAGGAUUAGAUACCCUGGUAGUCCACGCCGUAAACGAUGCUAACUCGUUUUUGGGCUUUAGGGUUCAGAGACCAAGCGGAAGUGAUAAGUUAGCCACCUGGGGAGUACGCUCGCAAGAGUGAAACUCAGAGGAAUUGACGGGGGCCCGCACAAGCGGUGGAUUAUGUGGUUUAAUUCGAUGAUACGCGAGGAACCUUACCAAGACUUAAAUGGGAAUUGACAGCUUUAGAAAUAGAGCUUUCUUCGGACAAUUUUCAAGGUGCUGCAUGGUUGUCGUCAGCUCGUGCCGUGAGGUGUUAGGUUAAGUCCUGCAACGAGCGCAACCCCUGUCACUAGUUGCCAUCAUUCAGUUGGGACUCUAGUGAGACUGCCUACGCAAGUAGAGAGGAAGGUGGGGAUGACGUCAAAUCAUCACGGCCCUUACGUCUUGGGCCACACACGUAAUACAAUGGCCGGUACAGAGGGCAGCUACACAGCGAUGUGAUGCAAAUCUCGAAAGCCGGUCUCAGUUCGGAUUGGAGUCUGCAACUCGACUCUAUGAAGCUGGAAUCGCUAGUAAUCGCGCAUCAGCCAUGGCGCGGUGAAUACGUUCCCGGGCCU